AAGUCGUAACAAGGUUUCCGUAGGUGAACCUGCGGAAGGAUCAUUAACACGUAUCCAAACGUUAAAACCCCCCCCGUGAACCUUCAUCCUGCUCUUGUAACCCGCGUAGUUCGCAAUCUCUGAUAAAUCAGAGCCCGGAAAGUUGUAGUGAUUCAGAGUCAUUGAUUGUGCAAGGAUAGCGCUUCUACGAUUCCUGUAGACCGUACACUCGGGCAGGAGCUUUGCCAAAGGGUCCCAUGCCCCCUAAUAACCCCACAGUUUAAUGUGAAGCUCAAUGUAAUACAUUGGGUAAAAACACCGAACAACUGUUAACAAUGGAUAUCUUGGUUCUC
This 332-nucleotide unclassified non-coding RNA is filed under the name fungal sp. RNAcentral's name for it is "partial internal transcribed spacer region". The stretch from base 1 to 46 matches the Rfam family "Eukaryotic small subunit ribosomal RNA", at positions 1786 to 1831 of the family's 1831-position model. The record is from RNAcentral. Lineage: Eukaryota; Fungi.